This 253-nucleotide unclassified non-coding RNA is filed under the name uncultured Bacteroidota bacterium. RNAcentral's name for it is "uncultured Bacteroidetes bacterium contains 16S-23S intergenic spacer region". It matches the Rfam family "Bacterial small subunit ribosomal RNA", at positions 524 to 776 of the family's 1533-position model. Lineage: Bacteria; Pseudomonadati; Bacteroidota. The record is from RNAcentral.
UACGGAGGGUGCAAGCGUUGUCCGGAAUCAUUGGGUGUAAAGGGUGCGUAGGCGGGAGCCUAAGUCUGUGGUGAAAUCUUGCCGCUUAACGGUAAAAUGGCCAUGGAUACUGGGUUUCUUGAGUACAGAAGAGGCCGGUGGAAUUCGUAGUGUAGCGGUGAAAUGCAUAGAUAUUACGAAGAACACCAGUGGCGAAGGCGGCCGGCUGGGCUGUUACUGACGCUGAGGCACGAAAGCGUGGGGAGCGAACAGG